GAACGCCCCGCAAGGGGAGUGGCAGACGGGUGAGUAACACGUGGGAACGUCCCCCUCGGUUCGGAAUAACUCAGGGAAACUUGAGCUAAUACCGGAUACGUCCGAGAGGAGAAAGAUUUAUCGCCGAGGGAUCGGCCCGCGUCUGAUUAGCUAGUUGGUGGGGUAAUGGCCCACCAAGGCGACGAUCAGUAGCUGGUCUGAGAGGAUGAUCAGCCUCACUGGGACUGAGACACGGCCCAGACUCCUACGGGAGGCAGCAGUGGGGAAUAUUGGACAAUGGGCGCAAGCCUGAUCCAGCCAUGCCGCGUGGGUGAUGAAGGCCCUAGGGUUGUAAAGCCCUUUCGGCGGGGAAGAUAAUGACGGUACCCGCAGAAGAAGCCCCGGCUAACUUCGUG
This 395-nucleotide ribosomal RNA is filed under the name uncultured bacterium. RNAcentral describes it as "bacterial SSU rRNA". It matches the Rfam family "Bacterial small subunit ribosomal RNA", at positions 64 to 507 of the family's 1533-position model. The record is from RNAcentral.